UUUGAAGAUAUUCUUUACUUUUCUUUUUUGUUUUCAUGUUCAAUCUGCAACUUAUAAGAUUGAGAAAUCAUGUCAUCUAUUGACAGGUCCAUAAUAUUUUGUGUUUUGCAUCUACAAACGCUUCUCAGAAUCCCAAAUUCGCAAUUAAUCAGCGAUCUACUAAAUUUACUAUGCAAUUAUGCUUUGGAUUGCUCCGGUGUUGUUUAUGGUUUCCUUCUCAAAUUUGAACAUUUUGAUUGGUUUCCUAUUUAUGCCGCUGUGAAAGACAUGAUUUGGUUUUCAUGUUGGAGGUCUCUUUAUCAUUAUUAUCUUGUGUAUUUUUAAAUCAAGUUUGGCUUGGAAGUUCAUCAAUUGAAGAUAUUAAUUGUUGGAUUUUGCAUCUUAAUUUCAUGCGAACUAUUUUUCAAGCAAGUUGUGCUAACUAUACAUGUUGAAUUUAUAUGGAAGCGUAUAUACUUAAGAUAUUGCUUAUCUAGUUAAUUAUAUCACUUACACUACUAAAGAUUACUUGAGGAUUUGGUCCUGCUUAUAUGCAUAAUGGUCUACAAUGAGGGGGUCUUUCAAACUGGGACCUGACUCUGUAUUUGGUACCAUUGUUGUGAUGCAUUUUUUAUUUUUAUCUUUUUCUUCUCUUUCUUUUUCGUCUUUUGGCAGGUGAAAGAAGAAAACAAAGGCAAAAGCAGGAGUAGAUGGAAGUGCUGCUAGUAAAACUAUUUAUAUGAUAGGGGAGGUGUUGGCACUUUGGGAACGAAUUUUUAUUUGUAUUAGAGGAUACAUGGAGGUUCUCUUCUUCCAAUCCACGGCCACCUCCCUUUCUCGCCAUUUGUUUCUCUGUUUCUCUAUUUCUCUCUUCUUCUUGUGAUCCUCUUCUUAUUCUUCUUCUUCUUGUUGUUGUUGUUAUUGUCUUCUUGUUCUAUAAAGAGUUUGAAUUGGGGUGAUUUAGAAGAGGUUUAAUCGAGAAAGGAGUUACAUGGAAUCUUGAUUUUGAAAUUUAGGGUUUUGAUUCGGUUGUGAUGGGCAAUGUGGAGCUCAAGGGACGAAAUGGGGGUGGAGGUUGGGGUCAGAGAUGGGUUUGUGCUAUGGGGGCGCUGAUUGCGGUGCUUCUAGCCACGGCGGUGACUUCUAGGACAUCACCCAAGAUCCCUCUUUUUAGGGUUCGAGUAAGUACACGGGGAUCGUGGAGGAUUGUUGUUGUGAUUAUAAGACUGUUGAUUCUAUCAAUGAGGAAGUGUUGCACCCCAUACUACAAAAGCUUGUGCCGACACCGUUCUUUCGGUAUUUCAAGCCAAAUUAGGCUGCAAGGUAUCCAUGGUGGAGGCUUUUAAAGAAGUUAAUCAAAAGGAUGAUUGGAGUUGGAAUGAGCAGGGGGCCAAUUAGCACAUGAGAAAUUUGCCAAAGCUCGCCAAGAUGUACUAGCUAGAGAAGGACAGGAGGUACAAAUUGAUGAUGAUAAACUAUGGUGGGACAUAUUCGGGGUUGCAAAAAAUCGAUGUUAUGUCAUGGGAAACCUUGUUGAGGAUAUAGCUUCUGAUUAUUCUCAUUCGCAAUCGCAGCGGUCUACAUUGAGAACUCAACAAUCUAUUCCUUCUAUGCCUCCAGAGGUUAUGAGUAAGUUGGAAUUUUUAGAAAAAGCAUACGAGGAGCUGAAGCAGCAAAACUAGUACAUCAUUUCUCUAUUAGAAUCUCAAGGUAUUGAGGUAAACUUUGAAACAACUCCUCGUACUUCCCAUGCUCCUGCCAGGACUGGAGAGUCUGCUUCUCAUGCUCCUCACACUUCAGAGGAUGUUGAACAGCCUCAGCCUGUCGAUGAUAUUGCAACAAAAUGAAUGUGGUGUUUUGGAUUAUUACAUUAAAUACUUGGACUAUUACAUUUUGUAUUUGUUUGUUAUAUUAGAUGCUUGAACUAUUAUAUUUUGUAAUGCAUUGUUAUUCUAGAUAUU
RNA transcript from Dioscorea cayenensis subsp. rotundata (Guinea yam), 1940 nucleotides. RefSeq lists it as uncharacterized. The record is from RefSeq and is a predicted model, not a curated record. Lineage: Eukaryota; Viridiplantae; Streptophyta; Magnoliopsida; Dioscoreales; Dioscoreaceae. The transcript is spliced from 4 exons.